AUGAAUUUAAUAACGCCCAACAGUUGGUUUGAGUUUGGUUCCUGCUUUGCAAUGUGUCUUCUUGUUCUCGCCUGUCUCGGCUUUCUAAGAGUAAGCACCAUUUCUCCCUGGGCAAGGCCUGGGGCCUCUUCCCCAGGACGAUGCAGCUGGCGGUCAGAGUCCCUUUCCCUUCUGAACUCAAGGCCCGGCUCCGCACUGGGACUGAUUGGCUUGCUAACCCGGCAGAUAGGGAUCGCGAUGUGGAUCGAUUCCAGCCUCGCCGCCGUGCUGGGGAGACGCCGGGACGAGCUCGGUGGGGUGCGGUGUGUGUCCUGGGGAGUCUCUCUCGCGAUUUGCCCAAGGGCACAGGAGGGUACGUCUCAGUCUCGGCCUCGAAGCUCAGCUCCUGGGGAGAGAGUUGUUUUCCCACCUCCUUUUCGAUCUCCUUCAGUCGCUGGGAUGCCUUGGAAGGGGCAGCGUUGCUCGGACCGCUUUUCUCUCUAUCAGUUUCGCAGACGCCCCCCCCCCCCGCCCCAACCCCAAGCCGCAGACACUGUGGAAGGACGCAUUUUGGGCGGGGGUUCAAUAUUCCUACUCGCCGGGAGGAGCAGGGGAGAGAUAGAACUACGUACCCCCAAAAGCAUCAGAGAGGGAGACAGAGGAGAGGGGACUAUGUGUAGGGCAUUGGACGAACUUGCCGUCGGAAGCGUAAGUUUCACUAAAGUGGAUUUGGUCACAGGCCAUCAAACUGAAGAACCCUGGUCUAAUCGCUUCCCUUCUUUGUGCCUCAGUUUUCUACUCAUAAAAUAAAGGAAUUGGACUAGAUCGUCUCUAAGUGCUGUUGCAUUCUUACAUUCUCUGGGUCUAUCUCGUGCCUAUUUUGUAGCCCAAGUAAAAAAAGAAGCGGAGGCAUCUUCCCCAAGAGACUUUCAAAGGACAUGGCUUCUGGGUGUCUCCACCUUUAUCUAGACUUCUUGCCCUCUGCCUCUCGGAUCCCCGGCCCAGUCGGCAGGGCUAGAACUCCUGGGCAUCAUGGAAGCUGGAGAGAGACUGAGAAAGGGACCGGGAAGGAGAGGUGGCUCCCAUUGGAAAAAAAAAAAAAGUUCUCCUCUGGGGACAGCACGUAAAGAACAAGUUGAAUGGAACUGUACGGCACGCGGAGGAUAGAUUACCUGUGCGCCAGUCUCAAGUUAGAAGAAUGACCAGAAACUGACCCAGAAGCCCGACUCGCACGCGGAGCUCUGACCUCCGCAGGGUCUUUCACAGAAGUUUGGCAUUAGCUGUAAGGAGCCGUUCUUUCCCCCCGCCCCCACCCCCGAGCCAGAGGGGCUCCCAGGUGGGGUUCGAGUCCCCGGAUUUCAGGGCGCUUACUUUAUAGAAGUGGCACCCUUAUUCAGGGUCCAUUUUCACCCAAACUGUGAGUUUCUAUUUUCCCCAAUAAAUCCAUUUCCCAAUCUGGCUCUGUUUAGCGU
Molecule: long non-coding RNA, 1451 nt
Filed under: Monodelphis domestica (gray short-tailed opossum)
Lineage: Eukaryota; Metazoa; Chordata; Mammalia; Didelphimorphia; Didelphidae
Description: lncRNA (ENSMODG00000044335.1)
Source: RNAcentral